Long non-coding RNA from Mugil cephalus (flathead mullet), 305 nucleotides. RefSeq lists it as uncharacterized. The record is from RefSeq and is a predicted model, not a curated record. The transcript is spliced from 4 exons. Lineage: Eukaryota; Metazoa; Chordata; Actinopteri; Mugiliformes; Mugilidae.
AAACCACUCUGAGUGGAGAACAGCAUUUUAAACAACAAUAUUUAUCUGAGAAAAGGAGUCAUCAGAGAGAAGAAUCUGACGACUUAGAACCUGAACCCAGCUGUGUGUCUAUGAAGAGUGAUCAAUCAAAAGAUGACAUCAUUGACUUUAAAAGACAAGAACCCUCAACUGUGAAGAGGAAGCAGCAGAAACCUGAACCCAGCUGUGUGUCUAUGAAGAGUGAUCGAUCAAAAGAUGCCAUCAUUGACUUUAAAAGACAAGAACCCUCAACUGUGAAGAGGAAGCAGCAGAAACCUGAACCCAGC